This is a long non-coding RNA of Girardinichthys multiradiatus, 465 nucleotides long. RefSeq lists it as uncharacterized. The transcript has 4 exons. The record is from RefSeq and is a predicted model, not a curated record. Lineage: Eukaryota; Metazoa; Chordata; Actinopteri; Cyprinodontiformes; Goodeidae.
CGUUUAUCUGACUGUUGGAGACUGAGCAAUGGGUGCAGGCAGAGAGAGAGACACUAUUUUCGCCUCUUCGCAUAUUUUGGAGCUUUUUUGUCGUCAUUUGCUAUUAAGCUUCUUGUGACAGGUCUUUCUGGAACAGUGAAGCUGGACAGUUACAGCUGCCAUUAUGCAAUGAAUAACAGUGAAAUGAAGAAAAGAAAAAUUGACUGGAAGCUAGUUGACAAAAUGACGGACAAUACUUACUCUUUGCGGAGGAAGGAGAUCGUAAAAGAUGAGCCACUGGUCGCACAAGUUCAAGAAAGGUGGCCUGCCUUGUUCUUCGUACCUCAGAUUGAAUCAGAAUUUGCUCGCCUCACAUCGGUAAACCUGAAAGAAGUCUUCUUCUCUGGGCUUGACCAGUACCUGGACAGGUUCCUUGAGCUUUUCAAAGCCAAGAGUGGAUUGCCAGAACUAACCAAGCUUACAAGA